GGUGGUGGUAGUACUACUCCUGGUGGUGGUGGUAGUACUACUCCUGGUGGUGGUGGUAGUACUACUCCUGGUGGUGGUGGUAGUACUACUCCUGGUGGUGGUGGUAGUACUACUCCUGGUGGUGGUGGUAGUACUACUCCUGGUGGGACCUAUUGAUGGGAUUCUUCAAUGAAAUGUUUGUCAUUCAACAUGUAGCCUCUGCAGAGAUGUUCUAGUUUUCAGGAGAAAUGGAUAGAGGGCAUUUUAACAAAGCAAUACCAUCUUAACUCUGCUUCCACAUUUUACUGAAUUGGUUGAACAGUGCAGAAGAGAACCAACCGUUUUCUGUUCUCCUGGUCAAGACCGGGAUGUAGUUUCAGGCCUUUCUUUGACAGCUGCUAUGUUAGGUGUUCCACGAGCGACGACUAGUUUUCAUUGAGAAAUACUGCACUAAACAUCUCUUAGAUGGGGGAAAUUGUGCAAAUUCAUUAGUUUUAUACAACAGUAUUGACUUGGCAUCAUCUUGACUUAAAUUUGACAACUCCCACAACUACAAAAAUGUCAACAUUUUUAUUACAGAUUUCUUGAUUUAUCUCAGAUUAAUUUGACCUGUUUUGAGGGAAGUGUUACUGGGUAUGUUGCUACGGUGGCUCAAGAGGGACAAACCAAAGUGUAGAUGCACUUUUUUUUUUUCCCUAAUUUUUCAAGUGAUGUUCAUUAGGGCGUAUGUGAGCAGGUGUUUGUUUUGCCGAGCUGAGUUCUGCUGGAAGCGAACCGACCCUCUGUGCAGAUGCCUUCAUCAGUUAAGUGGAGGAAAGUGCAACCACAAUACAGUACUGUCUGCUGCUAUAUGCUAAAGGUUUCCUGUAGAGCUGGGUGUGAGUGGACUUAGUCUUAUUAGAGGCUGGGGCUGCUGGAGAAAUGACUCGCUGUCAUAUAGUGUAUUCAUUUGGUGGGUUUGUUUUGGGGGGGGGUUUAGUGCUUUAUUUAACACUGAACAAAAAUAAAUUUAAAAAACGCAACAUGUAAAGUGUUGACCCCAUGUUUCAUGAGCUGAAAUAAAAAAAUCCCCCCAAAUUUUUCCAUACCCACACACACAGUUUAUUUCUCUAAAAUGUUGUGCGUGAAUUUGUUUACAUCCCUGUUAGUGAGCGCUUCUCGUUUGCUAAGAUUAAUCUAUCCACUUGACAGUUGUGGCAUAUCGAGAAGAUGAUUAAACAGCAUGAUCAUUACACAGGUGCACCUUGUGCUGGGGGGGCGUUAAAAGGCCGCUUUAAAAUGUGCAGUUUUUGUCACAAAACACAAUGCCACAGAUGCUUUGAGGGAGUAUGAAAUUGACAUGCUGACUGCAGGAAUGUCCACCAGAGCUGUUUCCAGAGACUUUAAUGUUAAUUUAUCUACCAUAAACUGCCUCCGAUAUAUAUAUAUAUAUUUUUUAGAUUAUUUGGCAACCGGCCUCACAACCACAGACCACGUAUAACCACACUAGCCCAGGACCUCCACAUCAGGCUUCUUCACCUGCGGGAUCGUCUGAGGUGGGGGUGCUGAGGAGUAAUUCUGUCUGUAAAUAAAGCCCUUCAUUCUGAUUGGCUGGGCCUGCCUCCCCAGUGGGCCUGGCUGCCACCCAUGGCUCCACCCUUGCUCAGUCUUGUGAAAUCCCUAAAUUAGGGCCUAAUGAAUUUAUUUCAAUUGACUGAUUGUCUUAAAUGAACUGAUUAGAUUAGGGCCUAAUGAAUUCAUCUAAUUUGAUUGAUUUCCUUAUAUGAACUGUAACUCAGUAAAAUCUUUGAAAUUGUUGCAUGUUGUGUUUUAUAUUUUUGUUCAGUAUUUUAUAUAUAUAUAUAUAUAUACACAAACACUACUGCACAGCCUGGACAAGGGGAACUGUUUCAACAUAUCACAUGUCAGCGUUCUCUGGUUGAAAUCAAGCACCUAUAUUAAUAUUGAACAGUGAUUGGUUUGGUUUGGUGAUAAUAAUAGAGUGACUGCAUGGGGGUCUAUAAUGCUUAGACUAGGAGGAGACCAUGUGACCUGACCAUGUGACCUGACCAGGAAAUACUGACCCUAUAUGACAGUGUUUCCCUCCUCCAGUACCCCCCCAACAGCCCAACUCCAGUCCUCCAGUACCCCCCCAACAGCCCAACUCCAGUCCUCCAGUACCCCCCCAACAGCCCAACUCCAGUCCUCCAGUACCCCCCAACAGCCCAACUCCAGUCCUCCAGUACCCCCCCCAACAGCCCAACUCCAGUCCUCCAGUACCCCCCCAACAGCCCAACUCCAGUCCUCCAUACCCCCCCCAACAGCCCAACUCCAGUCCUCCAGUACCCCCCCAACAGCCCAACUCCAGUCCUCCAGUACCCCCCCAACAGCCCAACUCCAGUC
RNAcentral lists this long non-coding RNA (2361 nucleotides) under Salmo salar (Atlantic salmon). Its description in RNAcentral is "lncRNA (ENSSSAG00000102135.1, ENSSSAG00000106828.1)". The record is from RNAcentral. Lineage: Eukaryota; Metazoa; Chordata; Actinopteri; Salmoniformes; Salmonidae.